AUGGACAGUGUACAGGGGAGGGGCAUUGUCCACCCUCCAGUGAGAAAGAGAGAGAGAGAGUGUGUCUCCUUGACUCCGAAGGCACCUGCCCCUGGGGAAGAGGAAGCUGAGAAGUGCCCCACUUGUCUCAGCUCCAUCCGCCCUGGCCCAGCUUUUAGGAAGGGAAAACUAGCCACGUCCCGCCCCUUCCAGCCAAAGCCCAGGAUUCAGCAGGGGCAGGGUCUCGGGUGGGCAUGGUGGAGCCAGUGUCCUGUCAGAAGGGUCCUGCGCCUUCCCAGGAGCCCUGGCCACCCAUUUCUCAAAGUAUUUGGCUGCGAAUUUCCCUGGAAAAUGAGGGCUUUUAGGGGGAAGGAAACUAACAAAAAAAAAAAUCCGACCACUGCAUUGCAGUGCCUCCCAUAUUGGUGCAGGCUGCUCUGCGGCUGUUGGAGGUGCGUGAGUGCCCACGCCCCCACACGCACACUUGCACACAUUCCCACAUGUGUGCACACACAUGCUCACACUCCUAUACAUACACACAUGCACACACACACCUACAAAUGCACACACACUCAUACAUUCCCACACAUUCAUGCACUGUGCACACAAACACACAUGCACGUGUGCACACAUAUCCUUGUACACACUCAUACACCUACACAUACACACACUUGCUCACACACUCCUACACAUGCACACACAUGCUCACACACCUACACAUGCGCACACACAUCCAUGGACAUGCUCACACACCUACACAUGCACACACAUACUCACACAUUCCUACACAUGCAUGCACAUGUGCACACAAUCCAUGCACACACGCACAUGUGCACACAUAUCCAUGUACACACGCACACUCUUACACAUGCACACGCACACCACACACAUCCAUGUACACACAUGCACACGCACCCACACUCUCCUACACAUGCACACACAUGCUCACACAUUCCUACACAUGCAUGCACAUGUGCACACAAUCCAUGCACACACGCACAUGUGCACACAAUCCAUGCACACACGCACAUGUGCACACAUAUCCAUGUACACGCUCACACUCUUACACAUGCACACGCACACCACACACAUCCAUGUACACACAUGCACAUGCUCACACACUCUCACAGACUCAUGCACAUACACAUGUGCACACAAUCCAUAUACACACAUGCACACACACAUCCAUGCACACACACUGCUACACAUGCACACACAAGCACACGUGCACACACAUCCAUGCACACACACACCCAGCCUGCACCUAAGCCUCUGGCCUUCUUGUCCCCUCCAGCGGCUGCUGUCAUUGCACUGGGGCUGGAGGUGGGAGAUGUGGGGGCCUCGGCUCUCCUGCCCUGGCUCUGGGCUGGCCCAGGCAGGAUCCCGAGGCAUCUGUGCAUACAGAGUGGGGGUGGGGGAGAAUGGGGCCAGGGUGGCUUCCUGGAAAGUGACUGCUGCUCCUGCUACUCUGCCAGGCCCUCGGGUUAG
Molecule: long non-coding RNA, 1467 nt
Filed under: Oryctolagus cuniculus (rabbit)
Lineage: Eukaryota; Metazoa; Chordata; Mammalia; Lagomorpha; Leporidae
Description: lncRNA (ENSOCUG00000037808.1)
Source: RNAcentral